Mauremys reevesii (Reeves's turtle) is the source of this 989-nucleotide long non-coding RNA. RefSeq lists it as uncharacterized. The record is from RefSeq and is a predicted model, not a curated record. NCBI's taxonomy places the organism in Eukaryota, Metazoa, Chordata, Testudines, Geoemydidae. The transcript has 5 exons.
AAUUUACAUUCCAAUCUAGAGCAAUUAAACGGGAAGCUACAGGCUGGGUGGUUUAAGCAGUGUUCUUUAAUGCUUGCUCUUAUGCUGAAGUGAAGGAACACCAUUAUUUGAAAAGAGACUGAUGUUACUUACCUUACAGGAUGAGUUUAUGAAGGUUCCUUUGUCCAAACUGAUCCAACUGUAUGUGUGUGUGUUUCUCAUGUGCACAAGGCUGGAUCCUUUAACCACAAAUGUCCAGUGGGACUGCAUCUGUGCCCUGCACCUCCUUGUAUCCCCUACAGCAAGAGUAUAAAGCACCGAGCAACCCUAAUCACCACUCAGUUCCUUCACUAGUACAGAAAAUCCAGAGAAGGACUCCAUAUAGGCGGGGAAGGAAGGCUGGUCUGGGAGCCAAGUGGACAAAGGCAUUUCACAGACCUCCAGUUACUAUGAGUCUUAAAGGAACAUCUCAUUUUCCUUAUAUGGGGAAAAGGCUAAGAGAAACAGAUUACAAUCCGGCUAUUAAAACCUACCAAUGCUAAUUUGGAUCAAGAUUGUUUUCAGCUGAGUUACUUAACAGAGCAACAAGACAGCCAUGAGAGAGCGAAAUCGAGUCCUAUAAAACACUUACUGAUGGAUUGAGGGAGAUGUGGAAAUUGCCACUUCCGGGACAUUCAUAUUAUCAGGGAGUAAUUGUUUGUAAGUGUCCUGGUCUUUUGGUGAAUAAUUCGAGCGUGCGGUUGUAAAUGGUGAGUUCAAGGUUACUGUGUGAAGCAAUUUAUCUCUGCAAAACAAUAAGACGAUGUGUAAAGGAAAGCAGUAAAUAUGGUUAGAUCUGCAAGACUGUUUCUGUGCAGGAUGGAUGGCUCCAGAAAAAAAACGUUAUUUCUCGGUAUACAGAGGCAUUUCACUGGACCCUUGAAAAAAAUGACUUUUUAAAAAACGAUUUUAGCAAACUAUUAAGUAAGCAUUGCAUCUGAUUAGAAGGCUCGGGGCUGAUGAUAAUUAGA